RNAcentral lists this ribosomal RNA (1814 nucleotides) under Dermacentor andersoni. RNAcentral's name for it is "small subunit ribosomal RNA". It matches the Rfam family "Eukaryotic small subunit ribosomal RNA". The record is from RNAcentral. Lineage: Eukaryota; Metazoa; Arthropoda; Arachnida; Ixodida; Ixodidae.
UACCUGGUUGAUCCUGCCAGUAAUCAUAUGCUUGUCUCAAAGAUUAAGCCAUGCAUGUCUAAGUACAUGCCGAAAUAAGGCGAAACCGCGAAUGGCUCAUUAAAUCAGUUAUGGUUCCUUAGAUCGUUUCUUCCUACUUGGAUAACUGUGGCAAUUCUAGAGCUAAUACAUGCAGUGAGCCUGAAGCCCUUUGGGCGACGGGUGCUUUUAUUAGACCAAGAUCGAUCGGGUUUCGGCCCGUAUUGUGUGGUGACUCUGGAUAACUUUGUGCUGAUCGCAUGGCCACGAGCCGGCGACGUUUCUUUCAAGUGUCUGCCUUAUCAACUUUCGAUGGUAGGUUACUUGCUUACCAUGGUUGUUACGGGUAACGGAGAAUCAGGGUUCGAUUCCGGAGAGGGAGCCUGAGAAACGGCUACCACAUCCAAGGAAGGCAGCAGGCGCGCAAAUUACCCACUCCCGGCACGGGGAGGUAGUGACGAAAAAUAACAAUACGGGACUCUUUUGAGGCCCCGUAAUUGAAAUGAGUACACUCUAAAUCCUUUAACGAGGAUCAAUUGGAGGGCAAGUCUGGUGCCAGCAGCCGCGGUAAUUCCAGCUCCAAUAGCGUAUACUAAAGCUGCUGCGGUUAAAAAGCUCGUAGUUGGAUCUCAGUUCCAGACGAGUAGUGCAUCUACCCGAUGCGACGGCUCGGACUGAACAUCAUGCCGGUCCUUUCUUGGUGCACUUCAUUGUGUGCCUCGAGAAGGCCGGUGCUUUUACUUUGAAAAAAUUAGAGUGCUCAACGCAGGCGAGUCGCCUGAAUAAACUUGCAUGGAAUAAUAGAACAAGACCUCGUUUCUGUUCUGUUGGUUUUUGGAAUACGAGGUAAUGAUUAAGAGGGACAGACGGGGGCAUUCGUAUUGCGGCGCUAGAGGUGAAAUUCUUGGACCGUCGCAAGACGAACUACUGCGAAAGCAUUUGCCAAGAAUGUUUUCUUUGAUCAAGAACGAAAGUCAGAGGUUCGAAGGCGAUCAGAUACCGCCCUAGUUCUGACCAUAAACGAUGCCAACCAGCGAUCCGCCUGAGUUACUCAAAUGACUCGGCGGGCAGCUUCCGGGAAACCAAAGUGUUUGGGUUCCGGGGGAAGUAUGGUUGCAAAGCUGAAACUUAAAGGAAUUGACGGAAGGGCACCACCAGGAGUGGAGCCUGCGGCUUAAUUUGACUCAACACGGGAAAACUUACCCGGCCCGGACACUGGGAGGAUUGACAGAUUGAGAGCUCUUUCUUGAUUCGGUGGAUGGUGGUGCAUGGCCGUUCUUAGUUGGUGGAGCGAUUUGUCUGGUUAAUUCCGAUAACGAACGAGACUCUAGCCUAUUAAAUAGGUGCGGGGUUCCCAGCACCUUACAACCUUCUUAGAGGGACAAGCGGCUCCUAGCCGCACGAAACAGAGCAAUAACAGGUCUGUGAUGCCCUUAGAUGUCCGGGGCCGCACGCGCGCUACACUGAAGGAAGCAGCGUGUCUUUAUCCCUGUCUGAAAGGACUGGGUAACCCGUGGAACUUCUUUCGUGAUUGGGAUAGGGGCUUGCAAUUGUUCCCCUUGAACGAGGAAUUCCCAGUAAGCGCGAGUCAUAAGCUCGCGUUGAUUACGUCCCUGCCCUUUGUACACACCGCCCGUCGCUACUACCGAUUGAAUGAUUUAGUGAGGUCUUCGGACCGAUGUCGGCGCGGCCUUUCGGUUGCGCCGGUCUGUUGGAAAGAUGACCAAACUUGAUCAUUUAGAGGAAGUAAAAGUCGUAACAAGGUUUCCGUAGGUGAACCUGCGGAAGGAUCAUUA